Molecule: ribosomal RNA, 520 nt
Filed under: uncultured Glomeraceae
Lineage: Eukaryota; Fungi; Glomeromycota; Glomeromycetes; Glomerales; Glomeraceae
Description: SSU rRNA
Rfam family: Eukaryotic small subunit ribosomal RNA
Source: RNAcentral
AGCAGCCGCGGUAAUUCCAGCUCCAAUAGCGUAUAUUAAAGUUGCUGCAGUUAAAAAGCUCGUAGUUGAAUUUCGGGAUCAAUAUGUUGGUCGUGCCUCGGUACGUACUGGCUUAUUGGUUUCUCCCUUCUGACGAACCAUGAUGUCAUUUAUUUGGUGUUAUGGGGAAUCAGAACUGUUACUUUGAAAAAAUUAGAGUGUUUAAAGCAGGCUCACGCUUGAAUACAUUAGCAUGGAAUAAUGAAAUAGGACGUUUGAUUCUAUUUUGUUGGUUUCUAGGAUCGACGUAAUGAUUAAUAGGGAUAGUUGGGGGCAUUAGUAUUCAAUUGUCAGAGGUGAAAUUCUUGGAUUUAUUGAAGACUAACUACUGCGAAAGCAUUUGCCAAGGAUGUUUUCAUUAAUCAAGAACGAAAGUUAGGGGAUCGAAGACGAUCAGAUACCGUCGUAGUCUUAACCAUAAACUAUGCCGACUAGGGAUCGGAUGAUGUUGAUUUUUUAAUGACUCAUUUGGCGCCUUACG